Myodes glareolus (Bank vole) is the source of this 5328-nucleotide non-coding RNA. The record is from RefSeq and is a predicted model, not a curated record. Lineage: Eukaryota; Metazoa; Chordata; Mammalia; Rodentia; Cricetidae.
CCCCGAGAAAGCACUAGUGAGAAAGCCGAGCCGCCGUGGGUGCGGAGAAAACCGAGUUCAGUGCCAAAGCCUGGGUGUGCAAAGAAAGACGCUGGCUUCUGUCGAACUCCCAGAAGGCAGAUGCUAGAAUCUGCAGCCCGGGUGGAAAGCACAAACGUGGCCGGGAGGUUUGCUCCGUGCACCUGUGGUAUAGAGUGCGCUCACAGAAGAGCGGAAAGCAUCCCUUUGAAAAGUGUUGAUGCCCUCACCUUUCCGACGGUGGCUAGCUAAAUGGAAUGAAAGAUUUUUAAAACAUUAUUAACUAAACAUCACAGGAACCUCUUCUCAUACCUACUGUUGUAAUAUGGUACCUUCAUCCAUCUUCACAGUACGUCUGUGACCUUUACCGUAUCUCCAAUAGAAAACACAUAAUUCCCAGCUUUCGAAGAAGGCAAUGGAGGGCCAGGUAAGGACGGAUCCAAAGUCACCCAGCUGCUGAGCAGUGCAGCUGGAAUGCCCGUGUCAAGCCUCCCACACUUUCAGCAAGUCCUAUUCUUCCAAGCAGACGUCUGCGCCCAUCAACUCCUUCUCUGCAAAUGCUGUGGGAAUGCAGGUGUCCCAGAAUCCCGGGUCAGUCGGCUGCUGUCUGGUUAUGGCCAAGAAAGAAGACAAAAGGGGAGGUGGAGAGUGGCAGGAAGGAGCAGGCCAGAGAAUGCCAUCUCCUUCCUCUUGCCUAAUGGCAUCAUUUGCUGGGCCGCACCUAACUGGAUCCUUUGUCGGGCGACCUCAGGCCCUGGGCCCAGUAAACAGUGACUCUUCUUACGAACUGUUCAGUCUGGCGGUGUUGUUAGCUUUCUGCUGGGAUUAAUCCCUGAGUAACUUCACCUUGAUACAUAGGCGAGCAGAGAGAUGAAAGUCCUCUGGAAUGUUCUGCUGGAGGGAGCAUUCAAGCAUGGCCAAACUGUGGAGGGCCAGAAAGGUGAGGCAGUCUAAGGGAGACACAGUCACAUGAAGAAUUGCUGUACAUCCUAAGCCUGGGUCCCUUGAGCAUUGAAGGGUCGACUCAGGAAAAUGGCCAGUUUGCGUCUUCACGUUGGUUCUUCAACUCCAGCUGAGGUCCCAAAAGAGUUAUUUCUCCUGAGUGUAGCUGCUUUGUCAACCUUGAGAGGAUGGCAUGGGGCCGAAUCCUGCCAAAAACAGUCCAAGGUGGCAUGGAGCCAGCCAGCUGGCUGCUAAGCAGAGCCCUCUCCCAGCCUCUCUAGGCCCCCUCUGGUUCCCUUUUACAGCUGUCUGGCCUCAGGUAAUCAUUGGCACUCUGCGGGUCCCUGGCUCUUUUCAUUCCCAUGUUUCAGAUCACUUUACACACAUUAAUUAAGCCUUAAAACACUCAGGAAAGGAAAGCCAAAGGCAGUGGGGAUGUUUGCAACAUGCUUCUCCAUGCUCUGGCAGGAGAGCUGGCUGCCCCGCCCCCUCACCCAGCCCCUCUCUCACCCAGGUGAAGCUUCUGUGUUCUCUGCGUAGUCAACACACAUCUACAUGCCACAGAAAACCCCGUUCAUUACUGAUUUAGGACAAUCAACCUCCCCAUUGAGGUUACCUGCCAUAGCUGAGCCAUGCCACCUUUGGAAGUGGAGCUGUGGGCAGAUCUGGCUCAAUGUUUCACACCCAGAAUGAAUGUCCCCAGUUUAUACCUCUGUGACCAUGGUCCAGGGCCUUGGAAUAAGAAGAUCUUAGCCCAAGUAAGGUAGGCAGUGCUGAGCAAGGAAGCCUGAGGUUGACCUCUCACCUCCACAUGCACAUGCAUACAGAGAGGGGUGGGGUAGGGAUGGAAAGAUCUUGAGAGACAGGGAAAGACCUUAGCCCAGAUCUAGCCCCUCAUGGAGUGGCCUUACAACUAUUGUUUCGCCUCCUAAGGCUGACUGUAUCAUCUGUAACACGAAUAGGAUGACAUCCAGUGCCUCCCCCAUGAUUUCUGGGAAGGAUGAAAUCAGAGCAUAACAUGCUAAGCAUUUGGCACAGAAAAGGCUAGGUAUUGGGACCUUUUCACGCCAUCUUGUAUCUAAUCCCAAUCAGUCUGAAUUAAUGUCGUUUUGCUACUGAAGUUUUAGAGACCCUGCAGUUCCAGCUGAUAUUGGUGUCUAUGAGAUGAGAAGAUAGGAAAUCCAAAUGAAGCCUGCAGUUUACUUAACGUUUUUUUUUUUUUUUUUUUUUUUUUUUUUUUUACCAACCAUUAAUCCUUAGUUUAGAUUAAUCUAUGACAUUUGAGCCAUUGGCAUUACAGGAAGUUGGGUAAGUGGAAUGCACGAACUGUGUUUUAGUGAAUAAUCAUAAUCUUAUUUUGAGUGCAUCAAAAUUGGUAAUGGUAUCCAGUAAGGCUAACACUUCACCCACAUUUUUAGUGUACUAUUUUAAAAAUACCUCUAUGGCUUCCACGAAAAUAAUAAAUGUCAAGCCUUUUGUUACCAAAAUAAGAGACAAUUUAUGUUAGCUCCAGCUGUUAUCACCACCAAGGAAAAUUCAUCGAGCUUCCUGUGUCUGCAAAGUGCCAUAUUGUACAUUAAAAUAGCAAACAUUACCAUCAGGAGAAAACCAUUGCUUGUGUGGCAGUCCAUUUAAGGUAGCUGUUUGUGUGUAAGAUAUUUGAUAACCUUACUAUUUAGGCCCCUAGCGCUUUCCUUAUUUCACAGAAAAUGGAUGGUUUUUCUAGCCAUGCCGCUCCAAGCCUUCCCCUCUGGUGAGAAGCAACUAGGAAGAACCAUCCUGUCAAAUAGCACUAUAGAUUAUACCACUUGCCACUCUGAAUGCAGGGUUUGCGAUGUUCACAGCAAAAUCACGGGGGCGGGGGUGGUGGUGGUGGUAGUGUGCUUUUUCCUCUGACUUCAUGGAGACCACAGGAUUUAAAUAUACUAUUUCCUCACUCUUUUAGUGCAUGCAAAUUAUGACAUUGUGAGGGGUCAGAAAGAGCCCUGCAUCUGGUGGGUGGCAGGGUGGCAAAGAACCUCGUUAUCUGUCACAUCAGAGAGUGUGACUGUCAUAUGGCCACCUUACAACCGGUUCAGCAGAAGAACCGGGGCUCAAGAAAAAGUGAACCCUGGGUUAAAAGUUGCUCAGCUCUCCAGUCAAUUCAAAUCCCUGGCAACACUUCGUGGUAUGUCAGCUGAGUAUCCGUGAGCAAAGUUGGUACCUGUGACCCAGGGUACUGUGCUGAGCCCCUGUCCUCCAGCAUGAGAACAUCAUUUGUUAUUGGGAGAGUGCCCUCUUCCUGUGCCCGGGGACUCCCCAAUGCUAGGAGGCAAAUUGACUUCCUACUAAAAAGUAAAAGGCCACAGGUCAUCUUCUCACUUCUCUUGAUGUUGGGGGAUAACGCAGAGUCCAGGUUUGUCCAGGAGCUAGUGAUGGGAAGGGGUGGGGCAGUACGUGUGAUGGUUAUUUCCCAGCGUUUCAUGUAGCCCAGGCUGGCUUCAAUGUCCCUAUUGGCUAAGGAUAGCCUUGAACUUCUGAUCCUCCUUCCUCCACCUCCAAGUGCUAGGAUUAUAGUCAUGUAACUAUAUGCUUGCCUGGAUGAUUAAUUUUUAUUAUCAACUUGAUUGGCUAAGGAACUCAUCAAUUCUCAGCCCUUUUGUCUAUGCUCAAGUGUGAACAAACACCCAGCACAUUAGUAAACCCUCCUUGGGGUGCAUCGAUGGCAGCAUUUCCAGAGAGGGUUAACUUGUGGGGGAUGGCCUACUGUGAGUGUGGCACCGUCUCAUGGGCUGUUGUCCUCCUAGCCUGAAUAUAAAGGGGCAAAGGAGAAAGCCAAGAGAGAGCAAGUGUUCCUCUCUCUUUUCCGGUCCUCCCUUAGGAGAGCCAGCAGCCUUCUAUGACCAGGGACAGGAGCUGCCCUGGCUGCCACGCCUCCUCUGCUAUUGUGGAGUGUAUCUAACCAUUUCCUCCUCAAGUUGCUUCGUCAGUCGUAGUUACAAGAAAAUGUACUAAUCUGAUGCUUAACAGAGUAGCUGAAGUGUGACAGCAGUUUGAUGGGACCACUGUUGGUGUCCACAGCAGGACCAUAGCCAUAACCUGACCUCUCUCCAGCAUGACUCCAAACCUUGAUUAGAAUACAUCACCUAGGAGCCACUUCCUCAUCUCUCAUAAAGAUUCCCAUGAGCCCCUCACCAUGGUGUAAAGAAAUGUCAGCUCCUCUGGUAGGUGCAAGUGUCUUGUCCCAUCAGCUACAUCUUAGAUACUAGUUACACCCACCAGCCAAUGUUAGUUUGGCAGUAGCAUUGGGUCCACGUGCAUCCCCCAUGCCUUCGGAACAACCCAGACAGCAUGGGGCUAUCUAUGACCACAAAAUGAGCUUGAACUAACUUACCUUGACCACUGAUGCUAAAUGAACUAAUCCAAGAAAAGAGCAAAUUUCAUCUCGCAUACCUUCCUGAAAUGGGUAAGGUGGGCAUGCUCCUGCAGGGGUAUUUCUGGCUUUCUCUGUUGUCCUAAAGAAGCAGCCCAGGAGAGCUUUGGCCAAAGGAAGACAGAGCAAUUAUGACAAAUGCUGAACAGAACAGAAAGACCUCCCUGGUUGCAGAGGAACUGUCAUUAGUUCUGUGUUUUUAUAGAGAAGAAACAGCCGGCUUCAUUCAGCCUCCUCUCUCUGUCUUAUAGAAACCCGGUCCCAUUGUGGUGAGCACUUGUAAUUCACCCAUUAACUUUUCCCUUGACAUUGGACUUCACAAUGAGAAACCUUCAAUGGGAACGGAUCAUCUUGUUUCAAAGAGCAAAGAGCUUUUCCUUCAAAGAUUCCUUCAAAGAUUGAGAAAACACGAACCUUCAUUGAUAAAAACCUAGAUCGCAGGUUUUUCAUAUUCUCCAAGCAAGUUAAACUCAGAAAUGGAAUCAUUUUUUUUAACAAAACAAAGAGGUGAAGAUAUCACUAAUCCUUUCAAUUAUACUCAUGUUAGCAACCAUGAACAUAGGCCCAGGAGCAAAUGCCUGUGUUCUCUAAAGAAAGCAGGGUGGAUUUAAGAGAAAUGGAGCAGAGGUCCCAAAGAAAGGCUGUCUGCUAUUCAUUUUGAAUUCUUCUGCCUCCCAUUGUUCAGAGAGCUAUGGCUCAGGGAGAAGAGCGGCCACGCCUGCAGGCGGAGUUGGGAAAAGUGCACCCCCACCCGUUUCCACCUAAGGCCCUCACUUGUCUAAUUCUUUUGACAACUGCAGAGAAAACCUUCACCCAGUAACCGUAGGAAUCAAUCGUCAGAUGCAUGGGACAAAGAACUUAGUGUGUUUUUUCCAGUUUUGAUGAAAAAGGGGAAAUGGUGUAGGAGUUCCUUUGUAUCUCUGUGUUGCUUUCAUUGGUUGAAUAAAGAGACUGCC